Molecule: ribosomal RNA, 119 nt
Filed under: Pteropus alecto (black flying fox)
Lineage: Eukaryota; Metazoa; Chordata; Mammalia; Chiroptera; Pteropodidae
Source: RNAcentral
GUCUACGGCCAUGCCACCCUGAACAAGCCCGAUCCUGUCUGAUCUCGGAAGCUAAGCAGGGUCGGGCCUGGUUAGUACUUGGAUGGGAGGCCACCUAGGAAGAUCAGGUGCUGUAGGCG